This 65-nucleotide transfer RNA is filed under the name Krisna expansiva. Its description in RNAcentral is "tRNA-Cys". The record is from RNAcentral. RNAcentral also lists the same sequence under 1 other name. Lineage: Eukaryota; Metazoa; Arthropoda; Insecta; Hemiptera; Cicadellidae.
AGUUUUAUAGUUUAUUAAAAAUUGUAAAUUGCAAAUUUAUAGAAAAUAAUUAUUAUUUAAGAUUU